AUAUGGGUUUGUUCGUGUCGGAUGUCAUGUUCGAUUGCUGCUAGAGCGCCGCCUUACUCAGCAGGCCAACGAAAAGAUUUGUUGAUUUAGCUGGCAGCUGGCAGAUUUAGUCAUGUGGGUCAUGUGGGCACUUAUUCGCCGUUUGCAAUUUGCUUGAUUCGAGAAGUUGUAACAAUAGUGCUCGGUACAAUGUAUAGCAAGAGGAUGGAUUCGGUAAACGUUUCCCGUUUUGUGGAUUAAGAAAGCCACUAAAGGUAUUUUCCAAAUAGCUGGAGCGGUGCAUUUUUGUGUGUGAACGAUGAAGCGACGCUUUUCCGUGAAGCUGUUUAAGUUCAUCAAGGCAAUCAGAACAGAGACUUUGAGGUCUAGUUCAUUCGCUUCUUUUCGAUGGUUAUAUUUGAUUCAGUAGCAUUGUCUCUUUCAGCACAAGACCAAUGGCAGAUCCCAGGGCCUGCCAUCGACAUACGGGAAAGAUCACUGACAGACCCUGGGGCUGAACAUGUUGAAGGUGCCACUGAAAGUGUCAAAAUAGCAUUAUUUCUUAGUUUUAUGAUAUUUGAAGCAAAUUUUUGGUGCAAUUUUGUAAAUAAUAAAUUUGAAUAUUUGUUGCGCUGAUUGGUAGCCUACACUAAACAUAUAUUUUUCAUGUUUUUUUAUUGUUAUAUCGUGUUAAGUAAGUUGCAUACGUUGACUGCCACUAAACCUUCUGAACGCCUGGAACCAGCGACUAAUACUAGUCGGCAUUACCAAAGAAAUAGUUAAAAAUGAACAGUCGUUGAAACAUAACCAUGGGGCCCUUUAUCAUUCUAGUAAGUUUUUUGUAUGCAGUUUAACUGAUGGAGGCUGAAUUCAUGUAAACACUCUGUAUAAAACCACACACAAAACUAGUCUGUAAUUUUCAGUCUAGAUUAUUCUAGCCUCAAAACUAGAAUUAGAUCCGAGUAUCUGCUCGAAAAGUGGCAAAACAAGGUGGUGUUUACAUUUAUCCCAAGGCGCAUUAAAGAGAUCUGGUGAUGGAAUCCAGAAUCAAUGUGUAAGUAUUCCAGGUGGUCUUAUAGCAUGUUUAAUAUAACAAAAUUAGGAUAUCACUUUUUGACACGAUGGGUGAACAUUUUUGUGCAAACCAACUUUCUGGAGGCUUGACGACUAAACAAAACACUCUUAAAAUCCUCAUUCAGAAGCAGAGGCGAUAAAAAUCAGCCUUCUAAAUUCAUACAUCUUGGGAUAAGCGCACCUGUAUAUUAUACCCACUUUGAUAGCAGCUCGAAAACUGAUAUACAAUGUUAACAGCUGACAGGCUGAAAUUUCAGCCUAUCAACUUAAGACGGAAAGGACCCUCAUAGUUGUUAAUAAUUGAUCGAUUUUGACAUCACGAACGCAUUAAGCGUAUGCGCUUCAAAUUAACUGUUGAUUGUUGGGCUCACAUCUAAUAACUCUUUUAUAAACGUUGAAUCUCAAAUCAACUCUUUUCAUAUCUUUAUGAUCUAACGGUUAUCUGACUGCGUAAAAACAUGUUAUGUCGCAUACGUAUAUCAGCAUUUAGGUUAUUUUUGAAGAAAAACAAUUCACCAAAAAGAUAAGAGCACAUUCUUUUCCUUCAUGCCAAUUGAACUGUUGUAUGAUCCAUACUAGUGAUGGGAAAAUGAAAUUUUUGUCGGAAUCGAUUCCGGCUAGCU
Molecule: long non-coding RNA, 1676 nt
Organism: Anopheles gambiae (African malaria mosquito)
Lineage: Eukaryota; Metazoa; Arthropoda; Insecta; Diptera; Culicidae
Exons: 3
Source: RefSeq, a predicted model, not a curated record